RNAcentral lists this ribosomal RNA (260 nucleotides) under uncultured bacterium. RNAcentral's name for it is "partial 16S ribosomal RNA". It matches the Rfam family "Bacterial small subunit ribosomal RNA", at positions 95 to 353 of the family's 1533-position model. The record is from RNAcentral.
CCGGCGCACGGGUGAGUAACACGUAUCCAACCUGCCGUCUACUCUUGGACAGCCUUCUGAAAGGAAGAUUAAUACAAGAUGGCAUCAUGAGUCCGCAUGUUCACAUGAUUAAAGGUAUUCCGGUAGACGAUGGGGAUGCGUUCCAUUAGAUAGUAGGCGGGGUAACGGCCCACCUAGUCUUCGAUGGAUAGGGGUUCUGAGAGGAAGGCCCCCCACAUUGGAACUGAGACACGGUCCAAACUCCUACGGGAGGCAGCAUG